GGGAUUAUGUGAUUCUUUUCCUUCUUUGAAUGGUGACCCUAGUAUUAUACAAACCCCUCCCUAAUUCCCCCUAAGAGAAUCUUGGAAUCACUCUCUCUCACCCGCACUUAUUCUAUUCUGGUUCUCUGAAAACUAUCAUGUUUGAUUUGUUUCUUGACAGGCUGAAAGCCAAGACCACCGUUGAAUCAAUAACCUCCUCCGAUACAAGCACUGCUCGGAGACCUUUUGAGGCUCUUGUGAACUCUAAAGCACCAGAAACUUGGGAUUCUCACUAUUCUCCUUCUAUUGCUGCUACUCAGUUACUGCUGAAACUCUAAUUUUCUCAUUCUUUUGCUCGUUUAUCUUCACAACUGGUUAGUGCUCUUGACUCUUAUAGGUUUAAUUGUUGUUUCUCUACCUGUUCGUGUUUGUGUGCAUUCUUUGUGUCACUACCAUCAAAUAGAAGAGCAUGGCUUAGGCUUCUUUGCAAUUUGUGAAUCAUGUGUGGUAUUUUGUUGAAUGUUUUACUGCAAUUCAUGGCCAAAAUACUGUUUUGAGGAUCUAUGUCCAUUAAUAUCAAGUCUAAUACUUUUGAAAUAAUCCUUGUUACACACACUUGUUCCUGCUACAGAAUCUCUAACCUCUUUGGAAUUAGGUAGUACCUCAUAUUAACCUAUCAUACUUAUUGAACUAUGUUCAUGACCCUGGUUUCCCUGAACUUUCAUAUUAAGUCUUUCUGUAAGGACCUCUGCUUGUUAUCUUCUUAAGAUUAUUUUUUUUAUUAUGUCUUGCCUUAGAUUUUCAUGCUGAAGUCUUCCCUGUGAAAACUAUUAUUGUUAUCUUCUCAGAAUUAUCCCCUGAACAUGUUUUCCAUCUUAGAUUUCAUGCUAAGUCCCUCAUGUAUGAGCUGUUAUUUUUCACCUUCUCAAAAUUAGUUUUGAACCAUGUUUUGUCUUAGGUUUUCAUGUUAAAGGCUAUCCAGUAUGAGCUUUGUUUAGCUAUCUUCUCAGAAUUGGAUCAUGACAAUGUUUCCCUUGAAUUUUCAUGAUAAGUCUUUCCCGUGAGGAACCCCUGUUUGUUAUGCUUUUUGUGAUUAACUCCUGACUACUCUAGGAUGUUUAUCUUUGUGAUGUUGUCACUUUGAAUUAGUUUUAUGAACCUGUAAGCCAUCAGAUGUGUGUUUGUUCUAACCUAUGUAUUAUGCAUACCCAUUAAUGUAUAUUUCUGUAGGAACUCUUUCAUGAGAUUGUAUGAGGUUAGUAGGCUCUCAAAGGUAUUAUGGUCUUGUUCAUGUGCUCUUUUACCUCUUAGGCAUCAUAUCCCAGGAUGUUAUUUAUGAUUCUUGUUUUUUAUUAAUUGUAACACUAAGAACCCAAUGUGCUUAUGUUAUUGCGUAAACUGGAGGUCGCCCAAAUUACUAGUUUGCACUUGUAAUUUUUUGUAUUCCUGUUGGUUGUUAAUAAUAAUGGGUAAACAAGGUAGUUGCUUAUGUGUUUUAGGCAUAGUCUAUUGGGCCAGGUUUGGUAUUGGGUCUGAAGUACACUGUCACCAUGGACUUUGCACUUGGAGUUUGGGCCUGCCGUCCGCAUGAAGUUCUAAGUCUAUUUGAAGGUCCAGAUGUCUUACUGGGAUAUUUUGUAUUUG
Molecule: long non-coding RNA, 1623 nt
Filed under: Nicotiana tabacum (common tobacco)
Lineage: Eukaryota; Viridiplantae; Streptophyta; Magnoliopsida; Solanales; Solanaceae
Description: long non-coding RNA (NTAB_LNC010697)
Source: RNAcentral